Molecule: non-coding RNA, 2826 nt
Organism: Paramuricea clavata
Lineage: Eukaryota; Metazoa; Cnidaria; Anthozoa; Malacalcyonacea; Plexauridae
Source: the annotation of a GenBank genome assembly
CACUCGGCAAAACAUGGAUUUGGAUUGGAAGAGAAAAAAAUUUGAGUGACACCGAUUACAAAUUAAGAAUGAUAGCUAAAAGGUGGAGAAAUCAGUACGAAAAAAAUAGGGGGAAAUUGAACAAAAGAACGAUAAAACUGUGGCAAUUGAUGCACCAGGCGGAAAUCUUAGUUUAAAGAUAAAGAGCAGAGCCCAGCAAAUAACUUUAAAUCCAAACAUAAUAAAAGUAAAAAAUUUAUUAGCUAACGUUUCGUUGUUUACAAUACAACAUCUUCAGAGCAAUCUAAAUGAAUUUACAGGGUAUGGUAUAUAUAUUUACAAAAUAAUGGUUUAAUAUUACAAAAACGGUCACAUAGUUUGAAAGAACAAAUGAAUAGAAAGAAAGGAAAACAACUUAUCAGUAACUAGUUAAUAAGUUAAGAUUAAUGUAUGGUUAGUAUAGUUAAGGUUAAUAUUACAUAACUAAAAUAACUCAAGAGAGGUAGAUCUAAUAUUAGCAUUAAGAACAGGGUUAAGUUGAGAUAUUAAUAGGCUUUCACGGAUAAGAAGAAACCACUCAGAAGUGCCUGAUGAUAGGAUUUUGAAAUUAGAAGCGGAGACUGGGUGUUUGUGAACAAUAAACGAUAAAAAAACGAUAAAAGAACGAUAAAAGAACGAUAAAAGAACGAUAGUUAAACACAAAAUAAGAAUGAGAAAUAUUCACUCGGCAAAAUUUACUUAUACCCCCCUCCCCCCAUUCAAAGAGGUCUAGCGCCGUCCCUGCCACAGUAGCUGUGCUUCGUGAUCAUAGAUAAGUCAUAAAGUAGCCUCAGGUAGAACUUCGUAAUUCAGCUUAGCUCUCAGCUGCAAGUAACGGGAUGAUUAGCACAUUCCCCACUUAUACUUGCUUACUGUCUUGUUCCAUUUCUUCUUUAGUGACAGCAGACUUUGUUACCUCAAAAGGAAUCAAAUAAGAGAUCCCCAAAACCUGCAAUGUUUGAGAGAGUCAAGUCAGUUAACCUGGAAAUACUUUAACUUCUUAAAUGUGAGUCUCCAAGGAAUUAGCAUUUCUCACGGCCGAUUUUUCCGCCAUUUUGGGGUAGUACCUCUCCCACGUUUAAGAGUGUUCGUACCACGAAAUCUUUUUAUUAGUAUUGUAGUUGUUUGUAUAAUGGUACAUUUACAGUUACAACUUUUAAAAGUCGCUUUUCACGUUUUUUGAAUUGUCUAGAAUCUUUCACGAGGGCAGACAGUACCCCAAAAAUGGCGGAUUUAGUUUGGCCUUCGUGAGAAAGGCUAAUUGAUGUCCUACAGCAGUUGAGGAUGAAGGCACACUACUCCACUAGGUUGCACUAACCAUUGUGCUAUCCGACUCCACAGUGAUUAAUAGAACUUAGGGAGAAGGAAUUUAGAUUUUUGAAGAUUCUUGCAUGGUGAGUAAUAUAUGCUUGUAUAUUUAUGCAAGCAAUUAACCAAAAAUAAUUUGCAGUUCGCCUUGCGAGCGAAGCGAGCAGCCGGAACAGGUUUGGAACCGUGUAGCUUGCGAGUUGCGAGGUGGGACGCCGGGGAAACCUUUUUUAUCAGACGGUCCUGAGAAAGUCAAUUUUGGCAAUAGGAAACAUAACUCAGAGCUUGGGAGGCUUGAGAUUUGGUAAACAAAAUUUGGCAGGAAAUUAAAAUAAUCAAACCAGUACAGAAGACAAUCAGUACAGAAAAAAAAACACGUAUUAAAUCUGGUCGGUGAAUAUUGCAAAAAGGUGUGGGAAAAAUUUUAAUUUUCUGGUACUAUACUAUCGUGCACAAGACCUUCUGACCCAAGUUUGCAGUACUUACGGAUCACAACACACAUGGAAUAAUAAUAUGAGUUUUGUUUUUUGUGGAAACAUCGCGUAUAUUUAUUAUUGCAAAGCUUUUGAACCGUAAGAUCUUCGUCAGAGAUAAAAAGAUAUUAUUAAUUAGCGCUGAUGAAGAUACGGUAAAAAUAUAUAUUAUUAGCACUGAUGAAGAAUGCUUUGCAGCAAUAAAUAUAUGUGGUGUCGUGGUCAUUCACAUGCACAAACCAAAUCUUGUGACUUGACUUGGACUUGCAAAAUAAGAAAUGUUAACAACUUUGGUUUGAACAUUAUCUUUGACUUUGACUGAUAACGUUCGCCGAUUUUGGAAGAUAUUGGUUUUCAUUCAUUGGUAUGAAAUAGGUAAUUGGACAAGUACUGGUGUAAGACAUUCUGUAGCCUAAAUAAUGAGGACCAGCAGUUCAAACGGUUAUCCUUUAUUUAUUUACUCCGACUCCUGUGAUGGUGAACAUGUACGCAAAAAACAAGGGAAACUACGAUUAGAUAGUAACUGAAUAUGUGAAUUUUAUGUGACACGAUGAGGGCGAGCGAGGAUAUAUAAGAGCGAGAGAUUGAAUUGGAAUAGGAAAGGCCACCCUGUACGCGUUUCGACCUAACAGUCUUCUUCAGCAGGGUUUUUUUAAGGGGGGGGGGGUGUAGAUAGAGUUUGCAGAGUGAAACUAGAAUGCAGGAGAGUUUAGGAGCACUGAACAUAUGUGAAACCAGAGAAAACAAAUUAUUACGAAGUUAUAAUGAAUUACACAAUACAAAAAUGAAGGUUGAAAGAAAGUGAAAAGGAUGAAAUUACUGAAUAUGUUAUUAGUAAAAUUAUCCUACCAAAGGUCUUGUUGUUGCGGGACAUUCCAACAUUACGUACUUUAUUGUUCAUCUUUUAACUAUAUUUUUGGAGCGAAUAUUUUUGACUUUGUCCAGAAUUUUCAUCCAAAAAUGGGGAUUGAGAUGGAUUCACCUACCUCGGUCCUGAAAAAUGCAAGUAAAACUUCGUCGAAAGACG